AAAUUUAAAGGUACAUAUUGUCAUUUUCUAU
This 31-nucleotide transfer RNA is filed under the name Orobdella meisai. Its description in RNAcentral is "partial tRNA-Cys". The record is from RNAcentral. Lineage: Eukaryota; Metazoa; Annelida; Clitellata; Hirudinida; Orobdellidae.